RNAcentral lists this long non-coding RNA (575 nucleotides) under Capra hircus (goat). RNAcentral describes it as "lncRNA (ENSCHIG00010022470.1)". Lineage: Eukaryota; Metazoa; Chordata; Mammalia; Artiodactyla; Bovidae. The record is from RNAcentral.
AUGACUGCACCGAAAGAAGCCUGCCAUCUUAUCAGACAUCCCCAAGCGAGAGGGGGGAUUCGAUGGGCCUUUGGCUGGGCUGAUGAUGGAUGGCUGGAUUUGCCAGCAAAGGCAGCUUCUGUGAAGGAUCCUCCAGACCGGGAAACAAGGGGGGUAGUUUUUAUUCCUGCCUCUGGAAGAAACCCUCAGGGUUCCCAGGACAGCGGAGGAAAUAAUCAAGUUCAUAGCUGUAAGCCUUACAUCCAUGGCCCUGUGGGAAGGUGGAAAGGGAGAGAGAGAGAGUGCCCAACCAAGGGCAAUCUGGAUGACACCCUCGCCUGGACCGGAGCAGUCCAAGUCCCGCUGGACCCAAGGAAGUCCAGCUCGCACCUGCCACACAAACCCACAUCUUUGCUGAGUGUCCUUUCUAAGCCCUCUUCCACCUGCUGCCUUGCCUCCUGCUGCUGGUUUAUAACGGAGCCUCUUCAUUACCUGGUGUUAAGCAGCGAAGAGUGAAGAAUGAUUUGAUGAGUUCUUUGUUCUUUUUUAAAUUUAUUAAAUUGUCAUUAAAAACCAUUAAAGACUCCCUGUCCUGA